Molecule: long non-coding RNA, 285 nt
Organism: Chinchilla lanigera (long-tailed chinchilla)
Lineage: Eukaryota; Metazoa; Chordata; Mammalia; Rodentia; Chinchillidae
Exons: 3
Source: RefSeq, a predicted model, not a curated record
GCGAUAAAAAGCAAAUUUCUGACAGGUGAACUUUUUUUCUUUAAUCAAACUGGUAAUAAUGUGGCUUCUUUGAAUCUAUGACAGGAAAUGGAAACAUGGCGGAGGAGCAUGGGAACAGAGACGGCAAUGAAAAUUUCACAAAGUGUUUGUGUUUUGGGUCCUCUAACUACUCUGGAGUGGCAGGGAAUUCCAUCCUAGGAAUACAAGUUUCUUUCAUGAGGAACAAUGCUUCUAGUCAUGCUUCUCGUCUGCCUUCACCCUGAGAUCCAGCUUCUGCAACUCAAG